Molecule: ribosomal RNA, 253 nt
Filed under: uncultured bacterium
Lineage: Bacteria
Description: partial 16S ribosomal RNA
Rfam family: Bacterial small subunit ribosomal RNA
Source: RNAcentral
UACGAAGGGUGCAAGCGUUACUCGGAAUUACUGGGCGUAAAGCGUGCGUAGGUGGUUCGUUAAGUCUGAUGUGAAAGCCCUGGGCUCAACCUGGGAAUGGCAUUGGAAACUGGCGACCUAGAGUGCGGUAGAGGGUAGUGGAAUUCCCGGUGUAGCGGUGAAAUGCGUAGAGCUCGGGAAGAACAUCGGUGGCGAAAGCGCUCUGCUGGACUGCAACUGACACUCAGGGACGAAAGCUAGGGGAGCGAAUGGG